GACGUAGGAUGCAAGCGUUAUCCGGAAUUAUUGGGCGUAAAGCGUCCGUAGGCGGUUUGUUAAGUCAGAAGUCAAAGCUCUGAGCUCAACUCAGAAAUUGUUUCCGAUACUGGCAAACUAGAGACAGAUAGAGGCGAGUGGAAUUCUGCAUGUAGGGGUAAUAUCCGUAGAUAUGCAGAGGAACACCAAAAGCGAAGGCAGCUCGCUGGAUCUGUUCUGACGCUCAGGGACGAAAGCGUGGGGAGCGAACGGG
This 253-nucleotide ribosomal RNA is filed under the name uncultured bacterium. Its description in RNAcentral is "partial 16S ribosomal RNA". It matches the Rfam family "Bacterial small subunit ribosomal RNA", at positions 524 to 776 of the family's 1533-position model. The record is from RNAcentral.